UAAUACAGAGGGUGCAAGCGUUGUUCGGAAUUACUGGGCGUAAAGCGCGUGUAGGCGGUUUGGUAAGUCAAAUGUGAAAGCCCUGAGCUCAACUUAGGAACUGCAUAUGAUACUGCUAGACUCGAGUGUCGGAGGGGAUGGUGGAAUUCCCGGUGUAGAGGUGAAAUUCGUAGAUAUCGGGAGGAACACCUGUGGCGAAGGCGGCCAUCUGGAAGACAACUGACGCUGAGACGCGAAAGCGUGGGGAGCAAACAGGAUUAGAUACCCUGGUAGUCCACGCUGUAAACGAUGAGUGCUAGAUGUUGCGGGUAUUGACCCCUGCAGUGUCAAAGCUAACGCGUUAAGCACUCCGCCUGGGAAGUACGGUCGCAAGAUUA
RNAcentral lists this ribosomal RNA (377 nucleotides) under uncultured bacterium. RNAcentral's name for it is "bacterial SSU rRNA". It matches the Rfam family "Bacterial small subunit ribosomal RNA", at positions 521 to 896 of the family's 1533-position model. The record is from RNAcentral.